CCAGCAAAAAACUCUAACUAUCAAAUAAAUUAAGCCUAACACAGCAAUUCCUCAAGCAACAUAUUACAUCAACUAAUAGUGAACAAAAUCCAUGAUGUAACCAACAAAAAUAUAAGGUACAUGACACAAAUUGAAAUUAACAUAUUUUAGUUAUGGAGAUGAAGAUUCCAGUAGAUGACUCUUCAUAAACCUAAUGCACAAGCGGCAUAACAUGACAUCUACAUUAUUAAAUACAGUACAUUCUACUAUUAAGAACAAGGGGAUAUCAAACUUUCUUCGUAGACUUCAGGGACCAUCCAACGAUUGAUGUUUUGAAAUUCGGGUGUUUUAAAAGUACCGUCUUUAGAAUUGUAAACAACCAACUCAGCCUGACACUCUAGCAACACCUGAUCAUCCUCAGAAACAUAAAGUACUUUGGUGUAAGGACAAGGCCCGACAUCUCCAAUGUAAGGAAUACGGAACAAUUUAGUCCAAGUAUCUUUAUUUCCAUACUCUUUCAUAAGCCAAACAUCUGAAAAAGUAUCACUAUGAGCAAGAAUGCACAAGCAAUCCCUCACCACCUCUAACGUUAAAGUAACCACCAUUACCGCUCCAUAAUUAGGCUGCACUAACUCUUGAUAACAUUCCUUCUCCAAAUCGAGAGAAACAAUGAUCCAUGUAGUAUAAGAAUCUUUAGAUGCCAACCAAUUAAUAGUUCCGCUAACGAAUGUUCCCGAUGAAUCGAAAGGAACACCAGAAGGAAAAUCUUCAAUCCAUCUCCAAGAAUUGGUGCCCAAAGUAUGAACCUUCACAUUAGUUUUGUAAACCCUAUUAUCUGAUUCAGAUUCAUAACAAUUAACAGCAACGACCAUGUAACUGUAAUUAUCAUUGAAAUUAUCAUAGCAAUAGCCAAAUCCAUAUAUUGUGUAACUUCCUUCUCGUUUUGGAUUCUCCAAAGAAGGCAAUUUCACAAAUUUUCUAAUGGAAGGGUUCCACAAAAGAGCAAAACGUUGAUCGAGUGCAAAACAGAGUAUACCAUGGCAAGAUCCAACAAUGACAUCAAAACGGUUUCGACUGGGCAGAGGGUAAUCUAGCUGUGUAGCAGCGGCGGCCGUGGCGGUUAUUUCUGUAAAGACGGAGGAGAGAGGGUAAUCCGUGAUAACAAACUCGCGUGAGGAAUUAACGUAGGUUAAGAUAAGGUGGUGGCGCGUGGUUGACACACGAAGGUGCUUUUUGGCGAAUUUAGGAUCGGAGAUGAGAGAUUUCCAGGGUUUACUGACGGAUUUGAGUUGCAUGAGGAAUUUGACUGGAAGCUUAGAGAGAAUAUCUGCGAUGAUUUCGAAUGGAAGAGUGGGAAGUGGCGGUGAUGUNNNNNNNNNNNNNNNNNNNNNNNNNNNNNNNNNNNNNNNNNNNGGUGGAGGAGUUCAAACGCCGCCUCUUGGGGGCUGUUGUUUCCUCCGUAGGUAGAUUUGAUGAAACGGCGUCGUUUGUGUCGUCAUCGUUGUCGCUAUUUGGCGCCAUUUUUGAGUGUGGCUACUAAUUAAUUGCUAAAGCUAAAUGAAUGAAUUUUUAAUUAAAUAAAUACUAAAAAUUUGUGUGAAAUUUCCGCAUGGCAAUUACCUUGUAAUUUCUGGUGCUUCUUCCUUCUCAAUUGUGUUGUCACAGUUCACUCAGAAGGUUCCAUCUUGACCUUGUGGAAAAUAAUAUCAGUCGAAUUGGAAGAACUUGUGGUGCGUGUUGUUUUAUCUUUAAGUUUUGCCCGGAGAUUAGAAAAUGAUAAGGAAAGUUAUUUUUAUCUUUACUUUAUUAAGAAAGAGAAAAUAUAUUUAAUUAAUGAUUUAACUUUUGUAAGGGUACAAAUGGUAAAGUAUCACUAAAUAUGCAUUGGUUUCUUAAAAGGACUAAAGGUUUGAGACAAAAUAAAAAUAAAAAAAAAACUAAAGAUUUGGGACGGAGGGAAUAUAAAAUAAGAAAUAAAUUUAAUUUUAGAAUUAUUUUUGGGAUUGAAUAAAUUAAGGGUCAAGUCUCAUAAGUCUCAACUCAACUGACAAAAUGUCGAAAUUGUUAAGCCAGACGUUGUGUCCAUAUUCGAAUACGGGAUCCCACAAUUAUAUAUGAGUUUAAUUUCAGUCGAUUACCACUUCAACUAUGAUAAAAAACUUAAGGGUCAAAGAACGGAAUUGGAUCCUCUCCGGUGAAAGGAGAGGUUCAAUGUAAUUAUGUUCGAGUAAGCUGUCAAAUACCCCCCUGAAAUUUUAAAAUUCGUCAAAUACCCCUUAAAAUUUGGAAAUAGGCAAAUACUCUCUGAAAUUUUAAAAAGUCAAUCAAAUUGCCCCCUGACACUACCAGUCAGAGUCCACGCCAGGGGGCAAUAUGAUUGACUUUUUAAAAUUUCAGGAGGAUAUUUGCCUAUUUCCAAAUUUCAUGGGGUAUUUGACGAAUUUUAAAAUUUCAGAGUGUAUUUGACAGUUUAUUCAUGUUCAUUCAAAUUAAUAAAAUAACAUUAAAAUUAAAAAAGACAAAGAAUAAAGGGUGGAUGAGGCUAUUAAACUCCCUCAUGUGAAAAUGCAUGUCAUUGAAAUUGAUCCUUUUCCGACGAAGGAUCAAUAAAAACUAAAAUUUUUAUCGUUAAAAUUACAUGACAAUUCUUUAUCUCUAUACUAAAAUUAUAUUUUAUUCGUCGAAUAUUAUACAAGAUACAAUUUAUUCAAUACAUCAAACUUUAUCGUAUAUAGUCAUGUAAGUUUACUAUUCGUGACAUUUUGGAGAUCAACCGUGUGUAUCUCAAUAAUUGUUAGUUUGUUACUUGCUUUUACAUUUGCAUAGCACUUAGCACAGCUAGGGGUGGACGGUGGGCGGAUAUGGAGAUUUUUUUCCCAAAAUAUACCUCUCUCCCUCUCUUAUUUCCCGUAAUACCCCCCUCUCAAAAUUUUUUCCCGUAAUGCACCUCUGACACAAGACAAACUUGAUAGCACCAUUUGAAAUGGCUACAUGUACAUGUGAUNNNNNNNNNNNNNNNNNNNNNNNNNNNNNNNNNNNNNNNNNNNNNNNNNNNNNNNNNNNNNNNNNNNNNNNNNNNNNNNNNNNNNNNNNNNNNNNNNNNNNNNNNNNNNNNNAAAUAAAAAUAAAAACAAUAACAAACCCAAAAUUUGGAGUUUAUAUCUAGAAAAUAUGCAACCAGAUAUGAGAGAAUUAUGAAACAAACACAAAAUAAAAGUCUUAAAAACCCUAAAUCGACAUAAAAAGUAAGGAAAAAAAUUAAAAUCUCAAAUAAAAUUAAAAUAUAACCUUUGAUUUCAACGAAUUUAAACAAACAAGAUGAAAAAUGAUCAAAUUUUGGGUUUCAAAAUGUUUUAGUCUAUGUGGGUUUGAGGUGAAGUGAGAAAGUGUGAAGAGGAGACGUGAGAAGAGCUUAGAUUCAGCGUUUUGAUUUACUCAUGCGGGCGGGUUUCAGGCAGUGUCGGUCCAGUUUUCUCUACCCGAAAUCACUCGUAAUAACCUAGUCUAAACCAAAUUUUUCAACCCACUAACCCGCGACNNNNNAUCUCUAAUUUUUGGGCGGGUUUGGUUGGGUUCGAACGGGCCUCGGUGUUUUACCCAGCCCUAAACACAGCUAGUUGGAUAUGAAUUUUUUGAAUUUGAGUUUGCUUAAAUUAUCCAUUCCAUUCUCAAUUCAUUGUUCAUUUACAAAAAAAAUCAUAAAUCUAUAACAAUAUAUAAAAAGGAUAGGUGAGUUUGGGAUGGACUUUUCAAUAUACCUAUUUUACCCUUGACUUAUUUUCACAACUUCCAUUAACUAAUCAAUUUAAAAAAAAUAAAAAAUAAAUUCAAAUCAUAAAAAUGUGAAUAAGUGGCAAAUGGGUUGCUUAUACAUGAAUGAUUACCAACUUAAUACUACAUCUAUACUAUAUAAAAAGAUAAUACAAAUAUUUUUGGUAUCGUUUUUUCAUAAUACCAACGAUAUCCUUAUUUUUUUUUAGCAAUAAAAUUUUUUUAUUAACAAAUUCAUCAUAACAUAAAACAUUUUUUUGGACAUAAGUUAGACACAGGCAGGCGCGGAACGCGCCUGUCUGGCCCGCUAGUGAUAUAUAAACACAAUAUACACUUUUCCAUUUUUUAAAUAAUAUAUUGUUCUUUAUAGAUUUGCGUGCACAUUCUUUUCCUCUUGUAUUUAUACAAUGUCAAAUACGUGUCCACCAAAUUUGUGUUUAAAUAACACAACUCUCAAUAGACACAAUUGAAAGAUUAUUAUGAUUUGUUAGAGCGCACACAUCAGUUAAAUAUAAUUGUGUUUUAUCAUUUUAAGAAACGCAUGUGUUCGAGGAUAGUGGAUAUUCCUUCCGGACACAAAUAUAAGAAAAAAAAUUAUUUACGCGGUGUUUAAGAAAUUUAGUUAAGUGUAGUUAAUUUUCUUGAUUUAAUGCAAAACAUGAGUAAAGUUUAUUAUAUUACACUUUGAAAAGUUAUUUAUACCUUGAAAAUCACAUAAACUUUUGAAAAGUGAAAUAAGUGUAAAAGUGAUUAAAUAAGGGUAUAUUAUGAAUAGUAGUAUUAAUCUAUUACUGAAAUAUUAAAAUCGAUUACCACCAAAAUUCUUAAUUUAUCCUUAUUACUUUUAACCACGUUGCAAGUUUUAUAUCCUUCAUUGUAAUUUCACUAAAAUAAAUAUUAAAAAAAUAUAGAAAAAUGAUAUGCUUAAAAAUAUGAACAAAACAUAACAAUCUAUACAUAUAAAAGAAGAAAAUAAUAAUAAUAAUAUAAUAAAGUUAAUUAAUAUCAAACUUACUAAAUUACACUAUAUAUUUCUAAUAAAACUUCUAAUUUUUUAUUAAAAAUAUACACGGGACCAUUAUUUGUCACUAAAACAUAAAAAAUUGAAUAAAUAAGUUUACAAGAAAUAAUUAACGUAAUAAUUCCACUUAUAUCUUAACAAUAUUAUAUAACAAAUUUUUAAAUAUUUAAUUGAAAGUAAAUUUUCUACAUUAAUAUAGUGACAGACUCAAAUAUCGAAUAAAAAUUAGUGGACCCGUGCGAAUGCACGGACUCGCACGGGUCUUUAAACUAGUUAGUUUAAAAGUAGUUAAUUUUUGCUUAUAUUUGUGUCCAAAAUUUGAAGUUUUUUUUUUUCUUACAACUUGGCCAAAGAUUUAAGGAAUUGAGCUAACACACAGAGCUGAAAAAAAAAUUAAAAUUCUAGCAAAUCAACUACCACUUAUUCAAGUGGUCAACAUAAUUUGCAGAAGCCACAAACAUAGUUCCCAUUUUCCAUGUAUUAGGUUUUUAUAUUGGGUCUAACUCAUUCUUACAAAACCGGCUAGUAAGGUGAAAGAUGUCUCUCUAUAUAAGCUCGUGUCAGGCCUCAUCUUAUAUCUAUGCGGGACUUGGUCUUUUUUCCAAAACUAUGAUAUCAUGAGAUAAAUAUGAAUUAAUAUUCAUUUGAAUAAAAUUAAAAUGUUGGCUGUUGAACCUAGCACUUCCUCGAAUAGGGUUCAAAAUUUGGAAUGAAAACACCAUUAAACAAUUUAAUCCAACCUAAUCAUAAAAUACAAUGACAAAAUAAUCUAAAAAGAACAGAAAGUGAGCGAGAGAGAGGAAACAUAUUACCGUCGGGAUGGAUGGUAGGGGAACUAUGCAGAAUAGUCUAGAACCACAACUUUUGGCAAAAAUAUGUCACUCUAACUUGAGACGAAUAAACUUCACCUAGGUUCAGACAUCCCAGCAACAAGCAGUUUUGUAGCACACAUAAAAUUUGUGUAGAUGUUAUCAAUCAUUUAAACAUACACACAAGUGACAGCCAGAGGGGAUAGAACCUAAUUUCAAUCUUUAUAAAGACAAACUACUAAUCAUAUAAUGAAUUGCAAAAUUAAAGAACCAGAUAAUAACUCUAACUAUCGAAUAAAUUAAACCCAACUCAACAAUAUCUCAAGCAUAUGCUGAUAGAAUGAGGCAACAACCUACAGAAUGAUUUACACAUUGACAUUUCAGUAAAAUCAUUCUAAACUGUUAAGUCAGAAUAAAACUUAUUAUGGAAAGAGCCACAACAUUCAACCCCUCAGCAACUCCCUUUUCAACAAAAAAAUAACUUGCAUUACAAGAGCAAUUAUAUGUUGAGACAAAAGUUAUAACAAGUGCAACCAGCCCAAGUAAAAUCUAUGUAAGUUUAAUCUCAACAAACUCAAGUUGCCCAGAGAUUUAAGGAACUGAACAGAACUCAAAAAGAACAAGUCUUUCAACUAAAUCAGCUAACACUAAUUCAAGCAGUCAACACAAUUUUCAUAAGCCAUAAACCUAGUUCCUAUUUUCUAUGAUAUCAUUAGAUAAAUGUGAAAAUCGCCAUUACAGUGUUGGCUAUUGAACCUAGCACUUCACAGGAUAGGGUUCAAAUUUGGAACAAAAGCGCCAUUAAACAAUGAAAUCCAACCUAAGCAUAGUAAACAAUGAUAAGAUAAUCGAAAAAUAACAGAAAAAAUUAGUGAGAGAGAAAGAGAGAGGAAACAUAUUAUCGUUGGCAUGGUGGAGGAAUGAUGCAGAACAGUGUAGAAUCACAGUUCUUUGCUUUUGGUAGAAAUAUGUCACCUUAAGUCUUAACUAAAGACAAAGAAACUUCACUAUGCUUCAGUUCAAACAUCCCAGCAACAUGCGAUUUUGCAGCAUACAUCAUAAAUUUUUUGUAGCAGACUAGCAGUGAUCAAACAUUUUAAAAUACACACAAGUGACGGCUAAAGGGCAUAGAACCUAAUUCCAAUCUUAGCAAACCAAACCACUAACCAUAUAAUGAAGAGCACAAUUAAAAAAACCAGCAAAAAACUCUUAACUAUCAAAUAAAUUAAACCUAACACAUAACAAUUUCUCAAGCAACACAUUACAUCAACUACUAAUGAACAAUAAUCCAUGAAGUAACAAGCAAAUAUAAGGUACAUGACACAAAUUGAAAUUAACAUAUUGUAGUUAUGGAGUUGAAGAAUCCAGAUGGUUCUUCGUAAACCUCAUGCACAAGUGCCAUAACAUAACAUCUACAUUAUCACAUACAUUCUACUAUUAAGAACAAGGCGUUAUCAAACUCUCUUGGUAGACGUCAUGGACCAUCGAACAAUUGAUUUUUUGAAUUUCAGUAGUUUUGAGAGUACUGUCUCUAGAAUUGUAAAUGGCCAGCUCAAAUUGACGCUUAUAUCGACUCUCCAGCAAUACCUGGUAAUCCUCAGAAAGAUAGAGUGGUGUGAUGUUAGGAGAAGACUCAAGAUCUCCCAUGCAACUACGAGGAAUACGGAACAAUUUAGUCCAAGAUUCUGUAUUUCCAUACCCGUCCAUAAGCCAAACAUCUAAAUAAGUAUUACUCUCAGCAAGAAUGGACAAGCAAUCCCUCAACACCACUAAGGUAACCUCACUAUAAAUUCCCAAUCCAUAAUCGGGCUGCAUUAUCUCUU
This 7403-nucleotide long non-coding RNA is filed under the name Trifolium pratense (red clover). Its description in RNAcentral is "long non-coding RNA (TPRA_LNC003698)". The record is from RNAcentral. Lineage: Eukaryota; Viridiplantae; Streptophyta; Magnoliopsida; Fabales; Fabaceae.